RNAcentral lists this ribosomal RNA (494 nucleotides) under uncultured bacterium. RNAcentral's name for it is "partial 16S ribosomal RNA". It matches the Rfam family "Bacterial small subunit ribosomal RNA", at positions 28 to 507 of the family's 1533-position model. The record is from RNAcentral.
GACGAACGCUGGCGGCGCGCUUAACACAUGCAAGUCGAACGGAAAGGCCUGCUUUCCCUUGUGGAUUGCGGGUACUCGAGUGGCGAACGGGUGAGUAACACGUGAGUGAUCUGCCCCCAACUUGGGUAUAAGCCUGGGAAACUGGGUCUAAUUCCCGAUAGGACUGCAGGGUGGUGCCUGUGGUGGAAAACGAUUUUCUAGUGGUUGGGGAUGAGCUCGCGGCCUAUCAGCUUGUUGGUGGGGUAAUGGCCUACCAAGGCGGCGACGGGUAGCCGGCCUGAGAGGGUGGACGGCCACAUUGGGACUGAGAUACGGCCCAGACUCCUACGGGAGGCAGCAGUGGGGAAUAGUGCACAAGGGGCGGAAGCCUGAUGCAGCGACGCCGCGGGGGGGAUGACGGCCUUCGGGUUGUAAACUCCUUUCGACCGCGAGGAAGCCACCUGGUUGGAAGGGUGGUGACGGUAGUGGUAGAAGAAGCACCGGCUAACUACGUG